This 276-nucleotide long non-coding RNA is filed under the name Prunus persica (peach). Its description in RNAcentral is "long non-coding RNA (PPER_LNC001812)". Lineage: Eukaryota; Viridiplantae; Streptophyta; Magnoliopsida; Rosales; Rosaceae. The record is from RNAcentral.
CAGACAACCGGUCGAUGUGAUGCUAAGAGCAAGUGUGGGGGGACUUGCUAGAAACAACUAGUCAUGUAUCAGUCCAUAGACAAUGACUAACCCCAUAAGUCACUAACUUAGGGCCCCAACCAUUUUCAUGGAGUCCAUAUCUAUUAUGAAUCACAACAAGCCAGACGGAAUCGGUUGCCAGUUGAAAUCUUACAGCCAAUUACCAUCAUUCCCCACCCUUUCUUUUAUCUUCAAGAAGAACCACAAUUUUCCACUUCACCAUGUGAUCCUUACCCG